AGUGAACGCUGGCGGUAGGCCUAACACAUGCAAGUCGAACGGCAGCACAGUAAGAGCUUGCUCUUACGGGUGGCGAGUGGCGGACGGGUGAGGAAUACAUCGGAAUCUACUUUUUCGUGGGGGAUAACGUAGGGAAACUUACGCUAAUACCGCAUACGACCUACGGGUGAAAGCAGGGGAUCUUCGGACCUUGCGCGAUUGAAUGAGCCGAUGUCGGAUUAGCUAGUUGGCGGGGUAAAGGCCCACCAAGGCGACGAUCCGUAGCUGGUCUGAGAGGAUGAUCAGCCACACUGGAACUGAGACACGGUCCAGACUCCUACGGGAGGCAGCAGUGGGGAAUAUUGGACAAAGGGCGUAAGCCUGAUCCAGCCAUACCGCGUGGGUGAAGAAGGCCUUCGGGUUGUAAAGCCCUUUUGUUGGGAAAGAAGAGCAGCAGGUUAAUACCCCGCUGUUCUGACGGUACCCAAAGAAUAAGCACCGGCUAACUUCGUG
RNAcentral lists this ribosomal RNA (492 nucleotides) under uncultured bacterium. RNAcentral describes it as "partial 16S ribosomal RNA". It matches the Rfam family "Bacterial small subunit ribosomal RNA", at positions 29 to 507 of the family's 1533-position model. The record is from RNAcentral.